CCCGACUGCUAUUUGGGUGAGGAUAAGCCAUGCGAGUUGAAUGGGAAACCUAAAGUUCCCAUGGCAAACUGCUCAGUAACACAUGAUCAACUUACCCUAUAGAGAAAAAUAACCUCGGGAAACUGAGGAUAAUGUUUCAUAGUUGAAUUGGCUUGGAAAAGUUUUUCGACGAAAGGGGUAAAAAAAAUGGUUUUUAUCUGCUAUAGGAUAGGAUCGUGUUCGAUUAUGGUUGUUGGUGAGGUAAUGGCUCACCAAGCCGAUAAUCGAUAGGGGCCGUGAGAGCGGGAGCCCCGAGACGGGUACUGAGACAACGACCCAGGCCUUACGAGGCGCAGCAGGCGCGAAACCUCCGCAAUACACGAAAGUGUGACGGGGUUACCCAAAGUGUUCAAUUUUGAACUGUGGUAGGUGAGUAAUGUUCCCUACUAGAAAGGAGAGGGCAAGGCUGGUGCCAGCCGCCGCGGUAAAACCAGCUCUUCAAGUGGUCGGGAUAAUUAUUGGGCUUAAAGUGUCCGUAGCCGGUUUAGUAAGUUCCUGGUAAAAUCGGGUAGCUUAACUAUCUAUAUGCUAGGAAUACUACUAUACUAGAGGGCGGGAGAGGUCUGAGGUACUGCAGGGGUAGGGGUGAAAUCUUAUAAUCCUUGUUGGACCACCAGUGGCGAAGGCGUCAGACUGGAACGCGCCUGACGGUGAGGGACGAAAGCCAGGGGAGCGAACCGGAUUAGAUACCCGGGUAGUCCUGGCCGUAAACGAUGCAUACUAGGUGAUGGCACGGCCAUGAGCCGUGUCAGUGCCGUAGGGAAACCGUUAAGUGUGCCGCCUGGGAAGUACGGUCGCAAGGCUAAAAC
This 848-nucleotide ribosomal RNA is filed under the name uncultured archaeon. RNAcentral describes it as "bacterial SSU rRNA". It matches the Rfam family "Archaeal small subunit ribosomal RNA", at positions 21 to 855 of the family's 1478-position model. The record is from RNAcentral.